RNAcentral lists this non-coding RNA (27 nucleotides) under Cricetulus griseus (Chinese hamster). The record is from RNAcentral. Lineage: Eukaryota; Metazoa; Chordata; Mammalia; Rodentia; Cricetidae.
GAGAACUGCUGUCCUAGAUGAAGAGGU